RNAcentral lists this long non-coding RNA (1148 nucleotides) under Oryctolagus cuniculus (rabbit). RNAcentral describes it as "lncRNA (ENSOCUG00000032114.1)". Lineage: Eukaryota; Metazoa; Chordata; Mammalia; Lagomorpha; Leporidae. The record is from RNAcentral.
CCAGAUUGUGAGCUCCCUCCCUCCCCCCAAAAGCUGACUCACUGUGAGUGACCUUGGGCAAGUUCCCAAACCUCCUUGUGCCUCAGUUUCCCCAUCUGGAAAAAAUGGGGCCACCUCUUGCCAGCAGUAGCAGGGCCGCCCAUGCCCCUUCCCCCCCCCACCCCGUGCCCCCAUCCAGCACUUGGGCACCUCGUGCCUCUGCCUCAGUGGGCCCUCGGGAGCCCACCUGAGCCCAGCACUUUCCCUGCCCGCCAGACUCUGCCUCCGGCUCAGCGUCAGCUGCUGCAAGCCAGGGUGUGGUGCGGUGGGGUGGGGAUGCCCCCUUUUCUAUAUUUAUUUCAUGAAAGUCUCCCAAGGGAGCACAGGCGCAGUCGGUCCAGGGUCAGAGGCAGGGUCGUCCCGGCAGAGCCCCUGCCCAGGGGCCUGAUCACGAUUCUGGCGAAGCAAAGGAGAGCUUGGGUCUGCCCUCGCUGGGUGCCACACGCUGAGAGAAGUCCUGUUGUAAAGACACAACAAAAUGGAAAAAGUCACAAAAAAGUUUGUAUAAAGACAUAUUUUUGUACUACAUGGGGACUCUUCCUGCAUGUCAGCAAUAAAACUUCCUGAUCUGGAGCCAUGGGCCGUGUCGUCUGUUCUUGCCCUCCCUGCCUCUCCCAUCCCAGCCUGGCAGCGCAGUCCCCAGCUCAGGUUCCCAUAGCUCCUAGCCCUGCCAGCACACCACCCUGCCAGCAGGUGGCACCAGCCUCCUGGUCUUGACCUUGGGAGGAAGCCAGGACUUCCCAGCAAGCUCCCAACCCUCAUCAAGUACCCAAAGCAAGACUCCUGCUUGGCUGCAUGUGGCAACCAGGGCCACUGUGGCUGGAAGAAUGUGGAUCCCCCCUCUAGCUAGCCAGACUGCCCACCUGCCCAGCCAGCGCAGCUGGGGUCAGGAGAGGGCCAGGCCAGGCCUUUUCCUGUACCACCCGCCCCUUCCCUCCUGCCCCAUAGGAAGCCAAGCGGGGUCUUCCUUCCUUUCUUCUUUCCUUCCUUCCUCUGCCUAAAUUUAGACUUUGCGAGUGCACAUCCAGAGCAUUGAAGCCAGAAGCAGGCUAGCCCCUCCCCCAGCACGGCAGACCCACAGAGUUCAUGAGCCAGUGCCCAAGCCCAGG